GCGUUCAUAGCUCAGUUGGUUAGAGCACCGCCUUGACAUGGUGGGGGUCGUUGGUUCGAGUCCAAUUGAACGCA
RNAcentral lists this transfer RNA (74 nucleotides) under Shigella boydii ATCC 9905. Its description in RNAcentral is "tRNA-Val". It matches the Rfam family "tRNA". Rfam says of the family: Transfer RNA (tRNA) molecules are approximately 80 nucleotides in length. Their secondary structure includes four short double-helical elements and three loops (D, anti-codon, and T loops). Further hydrogen bonds mediate the characteristic L-shaped molecular structure. tRNAs have two regions of fundamental functional importance: the anti-codon, which is responsible for specific mRNA codon recognition, and the 3' end, to which the tRNAs corresponding amino acid is attached (by aminoacyl-tRNA synthetases). tRNAs cope with the degeneracy of the genetic code in two manners: having more than one tRNA (with a specific anti-codon) for a particular amino acid; and 'wobble' base-pairing, i.e. permitting non-standard base-pairing at the 3rd anti-codon position. Lineage: Bacteria; Pseudomonadati; Pseudomonadota; Gammaproteobacteria; Enterobacterales; Enterobacteriaceae. The record is from RNAcentral.